AGUAGGUGCUUACCUGCAGUCGAACGGUGAAGCCAAGCUUGCUUGGUGGAUCAGUGGCGAACGGGUGAGUAACACGUGAGCAACCUGCCCUGGACUCUGGGAUAAGCGCUGGAAACGGCGUCUAAUACUGGAUAUGAGCUCCUUCCGCAUGGUGGGGGUUGGAAAGAUUUUUCGGUCUGGGAUGGGCUCGCGGCCUAUCAGCUUGUUGGUGAGGUAAUGGCUCACCAAGGCGUCGACGGGUAGCCGGCCUGAGAGGGUGACCGGCCACACUGGGACUGAGACACGGCCCAGACUCCUACGGGAGGCAGCAGUGGGGAAUAUUGCACAAUGGGCGGAAGCCUGAUGCAGCAACGCCGCGUGAGGGAUGACGGCCUUCGGGUUGUAAACCUCUUUUAGCAGGGAAGAAGCGAAAGUGACGGUACCUGCAGAAAAAGCGCCGGCUAACUACGUGCCAGCAGCCGCGGUAAUACGUAGGGCGCAAGCGUUAUCCGGAAUUAUUGGGCGUAAAGAGCUCGUAGGCGGUUUGUCGCGUCUGCUGUGAAAUCCCGAGGCUCAACCUCGGGCCUGCAGUGGGUACGGGCAGACUAGAGUGCGGUAGGGGAGAUUGGAAUUCCUGGUGUAGCGGUGGAAUGCGCAGAUAUCAGGAGGAACACCGAUGGCGAAGGCAGAUCUCUGGGCCGUAACUGACGCUGAGGAGCGAAAGGGUGGGGAGCAAACAGGCUUAGAUACCCUGGUAGUCCACCCCGUAAACGUUGGGAACUAGUUGUGGGGACCAUUCCACGGUUUCCGUGACGCAGCUAACGCAUUAAGUUCCCCGCCUGGGGAGUACGGCCGCAAGGCUAAAACUCAAAGGAAUUGACGGGGACCCGCACAAGCGGCGGAGCAUGCGGAUUAAUUCGAUGCAACGCGAAGAACCUUACCAAGGCUUGACAUAUACGAGAACGGGCCAGAAAUGGUCAACUCUUUGGACACUCGUAAACAGGUGGUGCAUGGUUGUCGUCAGCUCGUGUCGUGAGAUGUUGGGUUAAGUCCCGCAACGAGCGCAACCCUCGUUCUAUGUUGCCAGCACGUAAUGGUGGGAACUCAUGGGAUACUGCCGGGGUCAACUCGGAGGAAGGUGGGGAUGACGUCAAAUCAUCAUGCCCCUUAUGUCUUGGGCUUCACGCAUGCUACAAUGGCCGGUACAAAGGGCUGCAAUACCGUAAGGUGGAGCGAAUCCCAAAAAGCCGGUCCCAGUUCGGAUUGAGGUCUGCAACUCGACCUCAUGAAGUCGGAGUCGCUAGUAAUCGCAGAUCAGCAACGCUGCGGUGAAUACGUUCCCGGGUCUUGUACACACCGCCCGUCAAGUCAUGAAAGUCGGUAACACCUGAAGCCGGUGGCCCAACCCUUGUGAGGGUAU
This 1399-nucleotide ribosomal RNA is filed under the name Microbacterium testaceum. Its description in RNAcentral is "bacterial SSU rRNA". It matches the Rfam family "Bacterial small subunit ribosomal RNA". Lineage: Bacteria; Bacillati; Actinomycetota; Actinomycetes; Micrococcales; Microbacteriaceae. The record is from RNAcentral.